AAGGUGGAUGACGUAAUUCAGUUUCAUUGGCUCAUUGGUGUAUGAUUGUCACCCACCAUAGCCUAUUGGAAGUGGCGCUGAUGGUAUUUUAAGGCUGGAGUUAGAUCACCUGGUGUGCGUCACGACUAGGACCGCCCAUACUGAGUGCGCUGGUGUAGACGUGCGUUUUAUGCUUGGUUGGGUCACAGACUGUCCACUGCAUGUCAGCCUUGAAAUCAGUGAAAAGUCUUCCUGCAUGUUAAUUCGUUAUGAGCUGUGAGCGACUAUACACUUCGUGUGGCACGAGGAAUUGCUUUGGUGCGUUGAGCUGUCUCUCUCGUCGCGUUUCUUGAAGGCGGAAGUGUUUAUACCCGUCGUUAAAGGAGGACGCGCUGCUGUUUUUCCUGCUGUUUUUUUGUACUGUGUUUCGUUUUCUUUUUGUUUUCGUAGUUGAAUGUCAACUGGUGUCCAGCCGAACUUCAGUUGUGCUUCUGUUUGCUGCUUAAUUGCCAAAUAUACUAACGGCUCCGAGUUGCUCUACUACUAUUAAAGGGCUGGUUUACAUCUGGGGCAUCAUUAAUGUCAUCGCUUGUGCCCUGAUAAGUGUUUCCACGCUAUUGUAGGGGAACUCUGACUCUAGGACCUGCUACAGCACUGCCGGCCCGAGGCUGGGAGGCUAGCUAGCUUGGAGUACGGGUGGUGGUGCAAUUGUGUGGAGUGCAGUGCUGCUUGGAUUCACCUUUCACUGUGUGUGUGUGUGUGUGUAUGUGUGUGUGUGUGUGUGUGUGUUCCACGAAUUCACAGAUAGGGUCUUCACUCCAUCUAGCCUGCCCCUGCCGCUGGAAAGCCUGUGUCUUUUAUUAUUUCUUUUUUUUUUUUGUUUAUUUUUUUGUUGUGAGUAUUUUCAAAUUGAUAUCUUUAGUUUGUCCAGUACACAGAGCUUCUGAUUGUGACAGUGUUUGAUUGUGACCUGACAUUUGACAUUGAUUAUCAUUGAACAUUUUAACUAUUUAUGGUGAUUUGAAUAAAGUCUUUUGUACAUUG
This is a long non-coding RNA of Labeo rohita (rohu), 1023 nucleotides long. RefSeq lists it as uncharacterized. The record is from RefSeq and is a predicted model, not a curated record. The transcript is spliced from 2 exons. Lineage: Eukaryota; Metazoa; Chordata; Actinopteri; Cypriniformes; Cyprinidae.